RNAcentral lists this transfer RNA (75 nucleotides) under bacterium. Its description in RNAcentral is "tRNA-Met". It matches the Rfam family "tRNA". From Rfam's summary of the family: Transfer RNA (tRNA) molecules are approximately 80 nucleotides in length. The record is from RNAcentral.
CGCGGGGUAGAGCAGUGGUAGCUCGUCAGGCUCAUAACCUGGAGGUCGCUGGUUCAAGUCCGGCCCCCGCAACCA